AAAUCUUGCCUACUCUGGUGAUCAAGUUUACUGUACAAAUAACAAAUGAUAACUCUAUAAUAAUUAUGAUUUUGAAGAUGAGGAUGUUAGUCGUAUUCUGCAUCCUCUACCUGAUGACUCCUACUGGCUACAGUCAGCUUCAGCGUCCCAACAGUGAAGAAAUAUAUCAUGGGCCACGUGCGAUUGAAAGGACUGAAAUACCUGGGCCACGUGGGCCACCAGGUUUACCUGGAUUUCCAGGACCACGGGGGAGGACAGGAAAUCCUGGAGCUGUUGUAUUCUGCGGACAAAGUUGUAUAUUUUCUAUAUUUUCAAGAGAAAAUAUAUUUUAUAAAAUGACUUUCACCAGCUGAGUAACUGUUGUUUGUCAUUUCCUAAAAUGCUGAAUGCAGCAGCAGUACAACUUAAACAACUUUCAGUGUCUUCAUUGUCCCGCACAAAGAAAUAUCUGCACACAUGGAUUCACUAGUUCAGGGGUCGGGAACCUAUGGCUGACAUUUUUUAACAUGAGUAACAAGUAAUAAAUAAUUAUACUGUGUUAUUUUAAAGUAAAACAUUUAGCAGGGGAUACUUUUUUUGUUUUUCCCCUCUCCUAUCCUCCGCUCUGUCUCUGACUGUAGGUGUGUGCGCACGUGUCGAGAGCGGAGCCCUGCCCUUCGCUAAACAAAGCAGAGGAGAAACUGCGCAAAGCAAGCAAUAGACCAGGGGUGUCAAACUCAAUCACAGAGAGGGCCAAAAUUAAAAACUGGGACUACGUCAAGGGCCAAACACGGUCCACAUUUAUUGAACAGGAUAGACGUAUUGAAAUAAAGUGUAAAAAGAUAUGAAACAUUUUUAAGUAGGCUACAUUCUGCUGCGAUGUGUCAGAGCCAAAUGUUUGGAAUCUUUUCUUAGCUGCCAGUUUAAUGUUUGGGGUUCUGUGGAAACCCUCAGUGAGUGAAGGUGUGCAUCAAUGAGACGACUCCUGUGUGGGUUUUUGUUCAUCUUCAUCACAGAGAAAAGCUGCUCACACGUGUAUGUGCUUGUAAACAUGCAGAGUAUCUGAGCAGCAUGAAGGCGGGUUGAGGCAUCAUUUCUGGGAUGAAGUUUGGAAACUGCGCAGCGCUCACAGAGUCAUACUAUGCCUUGAGCUCCAUUUGGAUGUUCACAGGUGCUGUUUCCACGUCAACUGCAAACGGAUUGCUGAGCAGUUUCAUUUGAAUUUCUGAGCUCAGUUUAUAAGCAAAAAGUCAGGAACACAGCAGUGGAGAUGGUUUGUCAGUGUUUGGAAACACAUAGUGCUGCAUCAGAGUCUCCCACAGGCGCAGCUUGGCUUGGAACGCUCUCACUGCAUCAUACAUGUCCGUGAUCACAGAGCCCUGAAGAUUGAGGUUUAGCGCAGUGAGAUGCUUCGUUAUGUCGCACAAAAAGGCCAACUCACAUCGCCACUUUCUGUCCCAGAGAUCUGUGGUGUGUUUCCCUUUGCUUUCCAAAAACUGGCAGAUUUCCUCACGCAACUUGAAAAAUCUAUUCAGCACUUUCCCUCGACUCAGCCAUCACACCGCCAUGUUCAGAAUGUAUCUCCUCAGGAAAAUACUUAAAUUGGCUCUUAUAAAGUUUCCUGUCUGUGUUACGGUGCUUAUUACAUGUUCCAUCUCCAGAGCUUUACAACACAGCGCUUCCUGGUGUAUGAUGUAGUGAUACACCGUCAGCUGCAUCUUCUCCCGCAUCCUGCCCACUAAUCCGCUCUUUUCACCGCACAUCGCAGGCGCUCCAUCUGUCGUCAGUCCCGUCAGUUUGUCCCGGGGCAGUUUCAUUUCUCACACAUUUAGAUACUUCCUAAAAUAUCUAUUUUCACGUGGUUGUGCCAUGUAUUAUUUUAAUUACCAAAACCGGCAGGCCAGUUAUGAUAGACAUAUGAUAUGGUAGGGGAAACACUGAUACUGCUUUUAGUACUUGGAGAUGUGUUAUACUUAAAAAAUGCACGCAUUAAGUUGCAUUCAAUUUUAUUAAAUAUAUGGCUCACAAGGAAAUACAUUAAAACAUAUUUGGUUUUUAUGGCUCUCCCAUCCAAAAAGGUUCCCGACCCCUCCACAAGUUGUAAGAGAGAUGUAUAGAUACACAAGAGGAGGACACUUGAACACUGCAUCACAGUUCAGUAACAACAACUAGACGACCUUUUUGAAGGUCUUAACUUGGUUGAGUCUGUGUCCAAGGGAUUAUACUUCAACUCCCACUUGUAAACCUUUUCUUGAAGUUAAGCUUUUCAUUUGUACAGGGUGCACAUUUGACACAAUGUGGACUCAGAUCCAACUUACUGCCAGUUUGGUAACUGAAUCUUGAUCUGUUUGAUCCAGGUGUCUCUGACAAGGAACUUGGAACCAUAAAGAACAGAUUUGCUAAGUUAGAGCUGGGUAAGUGUCAGGGUGCUACAGGGAGUGAGCGCAUGUGGAUGGAGAUUAAUUAGAGCUGUUUAUUUCUCGUAGAACCCAUGUUGUUCAUACUAAUGUUGUGC
This 2494-nucleotide long non-coding RNA is filed under the name Cottoperca gobio. RNAcentral's name for it is "lncRNA (ENSCGOG00000000664.1)". Lineage: Eukaryota; Metazoa; Chordata; Actinopteri; Perciformes; Bovichtidae. The record is from RNAcentral.